Molecule: ribosomal RNA, 268 nt
Filed under: uncultured bacterium
Lineage: Bacteria
Description: partial 16S ribosomal RNA
Rfam family: Bacterial small subunit ribosomal RNA
Source: RNAcentral
GCAAGUCGAACGGUAUUUUUGUGAUAGACGCUUCGGUUGAAAUCACAAAGAGAGAGUGGCAAACGGGUGCGUAACACGUGAGCAACCUGCCCUGAAGACCGGAAUAGCUCGGGGAAACUCGAAUUAAUGCCGGAUGUGGCACGAAGAGGCAUCUCUUCAGUGCUAAAGCUCGUAAAGGCGCUUCAGGAGGGGCUCGCGGCCUAUCAGCUUGUUGGUGGGGUAGAAGCCUACCAAGGCAAAGACGGGUAGCUGGUCUGAGAGGAUGAUC